GAUAAGUUUGGGUAAUCUUCUCAAAGCCAGUCGUGCUGGGGAUAGACCAUUGUAAUUAUUGGUCUUCAACGAGGAAUUCCUAGUAAACGCAAGUCAUCAACUUGCAUUGAUUACGUCCCUGCCCUUUGUACACACCG
This 137-nucleotide ribosomal RNA is filed under the name uncultured eukaryote. RNAcentral describes it as "partial 18S ribosomal RNA". It matches the Rfam family "Eukaryotic small subunit ribosomal RNA", at positions 1535 to 1671 of the family's 1831-position model. The record is from RNAcentral.